AUGAAAACCAAAGUGCCUGUCAGGCAGGGGGCAAGGACAGAAGAGAAACGCCCCCGCUCCCAGGGCCGGGUGAGAGACUGUGGGGACCAGCUCAGGGACCCCCACCCAGAGGGGCCGCCACUUCCACGGGGAAUGCUGGUCGGAGUGGGCUCUGGACCUUCCCGCGUGAGGAGACGACAGGAGCCCAGGCCUUACGUGGCCUCUCUGCCUCCAAACCCGGGCCGCCGGCUCCCUGCACAGGCUGGGGCGGCGUGGGGCGGGCGGAAGAGCCCGAUCCCUCUGCGGCCGGCCUGCUUGAUUCGGGCCCAGCGGACCCUGACCCUGGCCCUGGAGGCCGCUGCGGCCCCCACCCAGCUCCUCAGCAGCCACAUGGCUGCCGGCCCUCACACCCCAGGGCGGCGCACAGGGCCUGGGCCUGACGACGUCCUUAGGGUCCCUGAGCAGCCGGGUCCUCACGGCCCUCGGCGACCCGGGGUCCCCGGGAUGGAGCGAGGCUCUGGGCCUUCAGCAGACGCCGGGGCCCCAGACAGCCCUGACCCGAGCUCCAGAGACAUCCGAGCCCAGGCUCCGAGAGAACCACCCCCGGCCGGGUGCGUCCGAGUCAGUGCUCCCCCGAAGGCGGGGACGUCGGGCGAGAAGCAACUGCAAGGACUCGCGGGAAGAAGCCACCGGGAAUCAUGGCGGCCGCGCUCGGAGGGACGGCUUUGCACGCUCCCGACACAGGUGGCUAAUGCGGAAUCCUGGUCAACAAAGUCUGCAGCCCUGCAGCCUGCUGCGAUGUUUGCUGAGCAGCAGACACAGGUGAAGAGUUGCUCUGAUAACGCCCUGAUCUGCUGCAGCUGUAGGUGAAGGAGCAGCUUAGGAUAGAAAUCAAGAUAAGAGCAACAAACCCAGGCUCCCGCGAGAAGCCAGUGGGUGUCCAACUUGAGGGCGGAGGAAGGCCCCGCACUGCCUGGACAAGGACUGACUGCGGCAAAUUCACUCCGGGGCUGGGCGUCCACGUCCAGCCAGAACACGAUCUUGCCGGGGUGCGCCGCUCACCCAGGCCCCGCCGUCCGCGCCGUGAGGGUGCUCAGCUCUGCGUGGCUUGACUGUGGGCCCUCAGGUGUCCUUGUCCAGGGCUCAGCCUCCCCAUCCUCUGCAGCGGGGACAUUCUAAGUGAGUGUCUUGUUUAAAAAACAAAGGUGGUAAAAACUGGAGUGUGAGAGGUUAACAAGUUGGCUCCUGCUUUACUACGGGGGGUCCCUGGCAGCUCCUCUGUUGAAGGACGCAUGGGGCAUCUGUGCCGCUCUCGUAGGGACGUUUCCAGGGCCUUGUGUGACUGUGUUCACGUCUGCCCCUCUCACCUCUGAGCUCCUCCCCACCGCGCUUGUGAGUGGAGCAGCCCAGGAGACUGUAUGUGGGGUUUUCCAACCACAAAGCGUGGGGGCUUUGGAGUCUGACGUGCUCCUCGGCGUGGCCACAUGUGCCUCUUUCUCCACUCCUGGCCAUCAGCUGCCCUCAAGAAGUCAGCCACCCCUGCAGACGGACAAUGAGUACGCAAAGCCAGGGAGGAAGGGCUUUGUCGGGGGAGCUUGGCGUAGGCGUCCACUUCGUCAGGGCCUCAGCUCUUGCCUGGUGAUUCCUGUGGGCUGAUGUACCCAUCACGGGGCACAGAGUGGGACGCCUGCCAUGCCGUCCUCCCUGCAAACCACAGCCAACGUCCAGGCCCCGCCUUUCACUCGAAGCUCAGUCCUUGUUCUGCCCGGGGGAUCUGGUGCAUCCUGCUGUGUCCAAGGCCCUUGCUAUGGUCCCUGGAGUGGUCUCAGGGGCUGUGCCACACCGCAGGGGCCUCGGAUGGCCCCCAUGUCUCACUGAGCAGACAACCAAUUUUCAGUAUGCAGGUGACAAGCAAGAAGCGGCGUCACCCCUAAACCUUGAGUUUCUUUGCCAAGCAGGAAGCGGUGUCACCCCUAAACCUUGAAGUUCUCCAGUCCUGGGCGUCCCCACUGCCUCCUUCCGGGUCACGUGUUCACAGAGCUAGGGGAAGACCCAGAGACUCCAAUGUAUCCUCCAGGACCUGCAGAUGGGCAGAGGCAGAGGCAAGUCCAGCACCCGUGCGGUGCAGUGGAGACCCAGAGAUCAGGCCAGGUGCCUGCAUCUGUGCCGGCUAUGCCACCGCAGCAGCGCUGUCCCCAGACACCUGGAACCGUCUGCGUGCACAGGCUCGUGGCUGCCCUGGCGGAGGUGCCCCAUGCACCCCCUCAUCUGAUGUCAGGUACACUCCUGCCCCAGGCCAGUGCUGUUGCAAAGCUGGAGUUUGUGUUCAGGCUGAUUAUCUUGAACUUAGGCUAAUCUUCCA
Molecule: long non-coding RNA, 2341 nt
Organism: Pan troglodytes (chimpanzee)
Lineage: Eukaryota; Metazoa; Chordata; Mammalia; Primates; Hominidae
Source: Ensembl